UGUAAUGCAACACAUCACAACAAAUCACAUCUCGGAUGGUAUUGUCACCAAUAGUCCUCUACAUAAUCCAACUGUGUCGGGACGUAGAAUGGGUACAACCGGUCUUUCUCUUAACAUAACAUAUCAUACAGUCCAACUGUGCCAGGGACGUAGAAUGGGUACAACCUGGACUUUCUCUUACAUAGUGCCAGGGACGUAGAAUGGGUACAACUUGGACUUCCAUACCAUAUCAUGCCGUAACAUCAUCAUACCAUAUGAGGACUAAAGGAUCAU
RNAcentral lists this long non-coding RNA (273 nucleotides) under Manihot esculenta (cassava). RNAcentral's name for it is "long non-coding RNA (MESC_LNC010056)". The record is from RNAcentral. Lineage: Eukaryota; Viridiplantae; Streptophyta; Magnoliopsida; Malpighiales; Euphorbiaceae.